CUUACUGCUUACGCCUAUUUAACAGUUGCUAUGUUUUUUUAUGGGCACCCCAAGUAGAAAAUAAUAUAUUAAAGGCACAAUUCUUGUCCUAUAAAAGCUUACUUUUCAUGGUGUUUGAUGCCCUUAGGAAUUGUCUGUACAAGAUGAAAAAGUUGACAUCAUUUUUAUGUGAAUCCAGCUGUCUCUUUAGAAGAUAAGAAAAAUGAAGUUAAAGAGAAUGAAGUGACUUGCUAAAGUUAUACAAGUAGUUAAGAGCAGAAGAACAGCAACUACUUUCCCAACUCUUGGUCCAUUAAGAAGCUCAGUAUCACUAAAGUUUUAUUUCUAAAGACUCAUAUGGCGUGUUGUUGCUGCCAAUGCAUCUUUUUUAAUAACAGAUAAUCUGAAGAAAGUAAACUUAAAAUACUCAUAUUUUUUGCUUUGUUAUUUUUCCCUUUGAAAUAAUAAAUUCAUCAACCUCUUUCA
Long non-coding RNA from Choloepus didactylus (southern two-toed sloth), 465 nucleotides. RefSeq lists it as uncharacterized. The record is from RefSeq and is a predicted model, not a curated record. The transcript is spliced from 2 exons. Lineage: Eukaryota; Metazoa; Chordata; Mammalia; Pilosa; Megalonychidae.